Daphnia pulicaria is the source of this 1193-nucleotide long non-coding RNA. RefSeq lists it as uncharacterized. NCBI's taxonomy places the organism in Eukaryota, Metazoa, Arthropoda, Branchiopoda, Diplostraca, Daphniidae. The record is from RefSeq and is a predicted model, not a curated record. The transcript has 3 exons.
AAAAAGUGUUGAGAACACAUUAUUCUGUUUAAAGAUCCUGUAAAGUUUUCUCCAUGACUACAACAAUGAAGAAUUUGCAAGAGUUGCUAAUCGAGUACACAUCAGAAAACGGAUGUAUUACACAAGGUCGGCCAGUCUGGUGCUCUCAAAUCGUCAUGUGGCUCGUCUUGUCAAUAAAAACCAUAGACGCGGAACUGGACAACAUCUGGAAAAUCAGUUUACAAGAAAGAAAUGGGUCCAUUUUCUAUUGUCAAAGCAGAAGAAUUGCAGCGCGUUUUCUCUUUUCGACCGUGAAUGUGUACCGAACGUCCACGCCCUGUUUUACAUCAUAGCCGCGCGUCGAUUUUAAACGAAAUAUCUCGAACACGACGUGGACGAUGCAUCGAAUGGGCACUUUCCCGUUAAGGAAACAUUUUUGACGCAUUUGCAAAAGCCAUUGGCACGAUGGAGAAAGUUCGGCGAAAGAUUCUGCGUGGUGUUGAUUUAAUUAUUUGUUUAGUUAACAGCCGUUUAAAGAAAAAAAAAAAAAAAAACGAAAGCGAAAUCAUUCCGAAAUUCACUUAGUUGGAAUCAGAUUUAACAGUGGACUCCGUUACUUUUCUCGUAUUAAUUAUGUCAGAAUAUCUUGACAGGCCCGUCAAGUCGAUUGUGAAAUACGUCACUUGGAUUGUUGAAAUAUAUUCACUUCAUUUAAUUGUUGAAAUACAUUGGCUCAUUCCAAAACGUAUUUCACAAUCGAACUUGAAACACCUGCUUCGCUAUUAAUAUGAUUUCACGACGGCCAUAAAUCUCAACUUAAAACACAAAUAGAAUUCAAUUCAUUUUUAAAAAAGCCAAAUAUUAUGGGAAUUCGGAAGACAAUCAUUUCACGUGACAAUGCUGAAUGGGGUUAACGGUAACGCAGCGGCAGUAUUCCGGCAACUACCGGGACAGACAACGGCUGUUACUUCAAUUUCACGCUACGAUUAGGUUGCGUUUGAAUGCCAUCAGGGUUGUCUCGUUCAGCGGCGUACGUGGUUUCUCGAACAAGAUCAUAAAAAUACUUUUUUUCUUUUAGUGUCGUCUUACUUUUGUACUAUACUAUUUCUGUAAGCUCUCUCCAAUGAAUCACCGACAACCUAAAUCUAUUUAGUAAAAAAAAAAUCCCUUCAGCAAACCAAACAUUCGUCAAAUAACAGCGCGCGGUCCACUUU